UACAGUGUGUUUAGAACUCCAGAUGAGGUAUGUGGGUCAACCGAACUUUCAUGAGUUCUCCCAGGCACCUAUCCACGCCUUCUUAGAUUGUUUCCUUAGGAAAAUAGCUCCAGUUCCAAACAAUUGACCAUAAAUCAUCUUUCUCUAGGGAGCCCCAGGGAUAUAGGAGGCCUGGAUUGUUUGUCUGCUGUGAACUCAGACAGGUGUGAGCCCCACUGAGAGGCUUAGCUCCACUCCAGGCCUGAGACUGCUGAGCUGUUAAGGAAGCCAGAAGCCCCCUUAAAGUGAGCACCCAGAAAGGAAAUAAUAGACCAGAGAGAGGAGAGGAUGCAUAUGAGCUUGGUGUAAGACCUUGAUCUGGGGCAGGAAGGACAGGAGGCUCAGGGCAGCUGCUGAAUGUGCCCAUACAAUCUUUGCCUUCAGAGGAACUCAAUAGAAUUAUGAAGAGAAACCAGUCUUUACUGUGAUAGUUCAAAGUUGGUUUUAUGGUCUCUCAAAGUGGUCUGCUAAGGCUCUGAGCCUUCUCUCCUGAGGGCGUGAUGGAUAAUAACGUAGAAGGUCUGGACUGGGGUUCUCGGAUCUGCCUUUUGUAAAAGCCCCAUGUGAUUUUGAGGCUCACUCAUGGUUAAGAACCACUGAUAGAACUGAAUCUACUUUCCAAGUGUCACACGGAAUUGGACUAAGAAUCCAAGUAUCCUAGCUCUCAACGCAGCGCCCUUUCUUUGACAUUUUAAAGAUGAACAGAAAGAUGUGUUGGGAAGAAGAGAUUUGAUGAGACAUGAAACAAAAUAUUAGUAUGAGACGAAAGUUCUCUGGUUCCUCAGUAACAAUAACGAUCAUUAGUGCUAAUAAACCUCAUUGUAUUUGGAAGUACAGAUGCUACUACUGAUGGUGCAGAUGUUUGAGGGAAAAAACGUGGGCACACUCAGCCGGCGGCAGUGCGGGAAUGACGCGGCCCAGCGGAGCGCACCACCCAUUAGAGAAGUUGCCAGCACCAAAUACUCACUUUUGCGGCUCGACCGAGCCUGGAGAGCUGGUAAUGUGAGCCAGCAGCGGCCAACAGGACGAUGCCCGGGAAAGUCUACAGUGGGGACAAAAGGUAGCUGUGGCGGAGAUCUUUGUCCUUCUAACACGGAGAGGCUCUUCCAUCUUCUUUCCUGUUCUGGAGGACAGGGCAUGAGUGCGUGGUGACUGACACUGUUGCAGCCGUCUUGCAGUCCUGAAGGCGAAGUCCAAAGAAUCACCGAGAAGCUGACCCACCGGCCAGACACUGCUGGACAACUCAACCAGCCCUGGAACUUACCCCGUCUGGACUUAUUGGUAUAUAGGAUGUAGAGAAAUUAUGCAGUAAUCUUUCUAUUUAAUAAUAACAAAUUGCCAAAUAACAAUCUUACACAUUCACAAUGACUUAGGUUUUCCAUUACCUACGUGCUGACUGACAUCACAGGGGCUCUGUGAUCAACUCAGGGCCCGCCUCCCUCCCUUGGCCGGGAAAUGGAGAUGAGAGUUAAAAUUAUAGAAAAGCUCAAGUCUCCCACCCCCUGCUGCACUUGCUCCUCACGCCUGCCUUUUGUGGGCUGGCUCCGGCUCCCACAGGGCCCCUGGGUCACUCGACCGCACCCACAACUCAUUCUGUCUAAUUCUAGACUCUUCCAGGAAAGGACUUCCCUUCUUGUUCUCUGUUUUCUUUUUACCUAGCAGUUCAGGCUUGACAGAGUCUGGGUCUCUCCUUAAGGUCUUCGGCUUCCUCUAGGGGAGACACUCCUCUUUCCCACUCAGUGGGGCCUCCUGGGACCCUUUGAGGCCCCCAUUCCACCCUAGUCAGGGACUCCCACUUGUUUUGUUCCUCCGGAGGUGGGCAUUAUCGCCUCUCACUUCUCUCUCUGCCUGAAGGAACAAACUCUUUAGUCAAACCAGUUUACUUGCGCGCUUCAGAAAAUCCACUUCCUCUUCUACUUCCAACAGUUUCCUCCACCUUGAAUGCUGCUUAAUGGCAACAUCUCCACCUAUGGGACUCCUUCCCAUUCUUGGAAACCUCUCCCACGUUCACGUCCCCUGUGAGUUAAUCCGUGUCCAUUCCAGCCACAGAAAGCUCCUUCCUUCCAGCACCUGCGGGAGUGUGUACCUCUGCGCCAGCCGGUCACUCUGCUGUGUGUGUUACACUGCCGUGUCUCUGGGUUGUGAACGUGUGUCUCCCUGCUGGACCAUAAGCUUCCAGGACUGCAGUUUAUGUAUCUUUUUAAUCCUCUCCAGUAUUCUGCAGCAGGACAGCCCAAGCCAACAAACACUUACUGUGCUUGGUGGUGCUAUCUCAGGACUUCUUGUUACGGAGAAUAAUAAAUGUAGCUAUUGUUCAAAGCUAAUUUUAUUUGAGUUUGCAUUUCCUUGUAGUCAAGAGCACCAUAAUGCAUACAAAUUCCCAUGAAGGAAAUAGAGGUGGGAGUAGAAACGGGGUUUUUCUACAGUUUAUUUCAAAGUGGGUGGUGUAUGAAGCGGAAUGAUUGAGGGGGGGAAGGUUAAGAGUUGGUCUCAUAAAGAGGUACAGCUAUGAUGUAUCCAUAAAAAUUAAAAAUAAAAAAAUUU
Molecule: non-coding RNA, 2583 nt
Organism: Microcebus murinus (gray mouse lemur)
Lineage: Eukaryota; Metazoa; Chordata; Mammalia; Primates; Cheirogaleidae
Source: RefSeq, a predicted model, not a curated record